UAGUCCACGCCGUAAACGAUGGAUACUAGCUGUUCGGAACUUGUUCUGAGUGGCUAAGCGAAAGUGAUAAGUAUCCCACCUGGGGAGUACGUUCGCAAGAAUGAAACUCAAAGGAAUUGACGGGGGCCCGCACAAGCGGUGGAGCAUGUGGUUUAAUUCGAUGAUACGCGAGGAACCUUACCAGGGCUUAAAUGUAGUCUGACAGGGCCAGAAAUGGCUUUUUCUUCGGACAGAUUACAAGGUGCUGCAUGGUUGUCGUCAGCUCGUGCCGUGAGGUGUCAGGUUAAGUCCUAUAACGAGCGCAACCCCUGUUGUUAGUUGCCAUCGAGUAAUGUCGGGAACUCUAACAAGACUGCCGGUGCAAACCGUGAGGAAGGUGGGGAUGACGUCAAAUCAUCACGGCCCUUACGUCCUGGGCCACACACGUGCUACAAUGGCAGUGACAAUGGGACGCGACUCUGCAAAGAGAAGCUAAUCUCAAAAAACUGACCUCAGUUCGGA
Molecule: ribosomal RNA, 501 nt
Filed under: uncultured bacterium
Lineage: Bacteria
Description: bacterial SSU rRNA
Rfam family: Bacterial small subunit ribosomal RNA
Source: RNAcentral